This 420-nucleotide ribosomal RNA is filed under the name uncultured archaeon. RNAcentral's name for it is "partial 16S ribosomal RNA". It matches the Rfam family "Archaeal small subunit ribosomal RNA", at positions 323 to 746 of the family's 1478-position model. The record is from RNAcentral.
CUACGGGCUGCACCAGGCAGGAAACCUUUACAAUGCACGAAAGUGCGAUAAGGGGAGCCUAAGUGCUUGCCUUCGGGUGAGCUUUUGUCAAGUUUAAAAAUCUCGACGAAUAAGUGGUGGGUAAGACCGGUGCCAGCAGCCGCGGUAACCCCGGCGCCACGAGUGGCAAUCACGAUUAUUGGGCCUAAAGCGUCCGUAGCCGAUCUACUCAGUCCUUUGUUAAAUCGUUAGGCUCAACCUAACGGCUGCAAGGGAUACUGGUAGGUUUGGGAUCGGGAGGAGUCAGAAGUACUCUUAGGGUAGCGGUAAAAUGUUAUAAUCCUUAGUGGACUACCUGUGGCGAAGGCGUCUGACUAGAACGAAUCCGACGGUGAGGGACGAAAGCCAGGGGAGCAAAAGGGAUUAGAUACCCUGGUAGUC